UGCAGGUUGUGGCAUUACGCCCAUGUACUCUAUGUCGCGAUAUUUAACUGACAGUCAAAUGGAUGCAGAUAUCGCU
This 76-nucleotide transfer RNA is filed under the name Shewanella putrefaciens. Its description in RNAcentral is "tRNA-Phe". The record is from RNAcentral. Lineage: Bacteria; Pseudomonadati; Pseudomonadota; Gammaproteobacteria; Alteromonadales; Shewanellaceae.